CGACAGAACAGCGAGUAGAAUGGAAAAGUAUAGACAGUAGCAUUUCCCAGCCCAUUCGUUACAAACCAAGACUGGAGUCAGCACAACGUCCAUCAUUCUUCGAGGAUAUUUUCGUAUAGUGGUCACACCAUUGACUGUAGCCUAUAUAAAGGGUCACGCAGGUAACUAUUAUUUGUAUUUUUUUACAUUUGUAUAGCACCUUUCAUGCGCGUCCGCUUUAGGUGCAGACCUGAACAUUAUGAUAUUCCAGGAAUCUAAGUUUGUUUGGGAUCUAAUUUCGUCUAAUAAAAAGUGGAGUAUAUAAAUAAUUCCAGCUCAACAAGGAUAAACAUAGGAAAGUGAAGCCAUAUUGUGGUGUUCGUUAUAUUUGUUGGCUUGAUAGGCCAUUGGAAUUUGUUUCCAACGAAAGACGUAGAGGGAGCUUUUGCCGCCAAAGAAACGCUUGAGCUGUUUGCAACAACUUCGCAAGGUUGGCUAACCGUUCCUGUAAAUAUUGUGGAAUAAAUUGGGGAAAACGUUGUCUCUGAAAAUAAAUAAGUUACUAGUUUAGGCUAUACCGAAAACUUUUACAAACCAAGGAGACGCCAACUUAGGGAGAGAACCUGAAGCGGCCAAUCAGCCUAUAUCUACUGUAGGUAUAGUAUGUUUUAAUUACCUGAGUUGUCCACAGUGAAAAUUACCAUCAACUUGUUGCCUAACGUUACUUUUUAGACAACAGCUUCUCUUUCAUUUCACAGGAGUUUUACUUGUCAACCAUGAACCAAACCGCAGGAGUAACACAGACAUACCGGAGGUGUUCUAAAGCAGGAAAGUGCCAUUUCCUGUACCAGCAAUUGGCUGUGUCAACUUCCGAAACGCAGACCUCCCAGAGAAAUGUGCUGGGCUUGCACCUGUGUCAGUCUCCCAGAUGGACCUGCUGAGAUUGUGCCGCAGGUUUUCUCCAAAUCUCUCAAAGAUCCAACCCUCGGGCGUAAUACCUGAAUAUCCAUAAUUGCUGUGGAUAUUAGCCGAUAAUUCUGUGUUUCCAUACAUUGUUGAUGAGCCACUUACACUUACAACCUUUCAGAAUAUAGAUGUAGGCUCUUAAUUUGAUCAGUCUUUUGUUGCUGAUAAUUUUUCUGCAAACAGGAAAAGCAAGCUUGUAGUAUAUUUGGGUUUUUAAAAGGCUUCUAAAGUUUGUCAUUUCCAUUUAGAAAUUUCAGACUUGAUUUGCCCAAAUAAAACAUUUAUCAACCCCUACAAAAAUGUCCAUUAAUUAUAAUCCACAUAAUAAUUCACAUUUCCUACUGCUGUAGGAUUAUUUUACUACUGUAGCAAACUGGCUCAAAUUAAGAUCCUGUAUGUGUGGUGUUCUGUGAUUUAUUUCCGUUUUGUUCUCCAGAUGUUAUUUGCCGCUGCUGUCUGUUGGUCUUUUUAUCAAUGACUUCACACUUCUGUAUUUAUACAGUGUAUGUGUCAUCAUAAGCCACUAGUCUUACCCUUGUCAAUGGUGACUUGUAAGUUACUUGAAGUUAACUGCAAUCCUUCAUAUUUUAGUUUAUAUCAGAGUAACGUCAAGGUUGUGUGAUGUAUUGGGUGACCGCGUCCCAGAUUGGGCGGGACAAUCCUGCAUUUUGUACCUUUGUCCCUUAACCAAACAAUCAAGUCCCACAU
Molecule: long non-coding RNA, 1653 nt
Organism: Salmo trutta (river trout)
Lineage: Eukaryota; Metazoa; Chordata; Actinopteri; Salmoniformes; Salmonidae
Source: Ensembl